This 638-nucleotide ribosomal RNA is filed under the name bacterium R5. RNAcentral describes it as "bacterial SSU rRNA". It matches the Rfam family "Bacterial small subunit ribosomal RNA", at positions 779 to 1417 of the family's 1533-position model. The record is from RNAcentral.
UAGAUACCCUGGUAGUCCACGCCGUAAACGAUGUCGACUUGGAGGUUGUUCCCUUGAGGAGUGGCUUCCGGAGCUAACGCGUUAAGUCGACCGCCUGGGGAGUACGGCCGCAAGGUUAAAACUCAAAUGAAUUGACGGGGGCCCGCACAAGCGGUGGAGCAUGUGGUUUAAUUCGAUGCAACGCGAAGAACCUUACCUACUCUUGACAUCCAGAGAACUUAGCAGAGAUGCUUUGGUGCCUUCGGGAACUCUGAGACAGGUGCUGCAUGGCUGUCGUCAGCUCGUGUUGUGAAAUGUUGGGUUAAGUCCCGCAACGAGCGCAACCCUUAUCCUUUGUUGCCAGCGAUUCGGUCGGGAACUCAAAGGAGACUGCCGGUGAUAAACCGGAGGAAGGUGGGGAUGACGUCAAGUCAUCAUGGCCCUUACGAGUAGGGCUACACACGUGCUACAAUGGCGCAUACAAAGAGAAGCGACCUCGCGAGAGCAAGCGGACCUCACAAAGUGCGUCGUAGUCCGGAUCGGAGUCUGCAACUCGACUCCGUGAAGUCGGAAUCGCUAGUAAUCGUGGAUCAGAAUGCCACGGUGAAUACGUUCCCGGGCCUUGUACACACCGCCCGUCACACCAUGGGAGUGGGUUG